Molecule: ribosomal RNA, 26 nt
Filed under: Mycobacterium avium
Lineage: Bacteria; Bacillati; Actinomycetota; Actinomycetes; Mycobacteriales; Mycobacteriaceae
Also listed under: 4 other names
Description: 23S rRNA
Source: RNAcentral
GUGUAAGUAAGUGUUUAAGGGCGCAU